UUUGGAAUUCACACCGCCCGUCGAUUAUGGAAUUCACACCGCCCGUCGUUAUGUGAAGAUGACGCAGUCGGAUCGAAGAUUGAGAGGUCUGAAGUCUUUCGUGUUAGAUAAGAUAUAAGUCGUAACAUGGCUGCUGUUGGAGAACCAGCAGCAGGAUCAGUAUGUUGAUUUGAUUAUUUUGUGGGGAUUUUUAGUUUUUUAGUUUUUCUUUCUCUAUCCAUGGGAUUGAUUGGCAUUAUCUGCGAUGAAGGACGUGCUGGAAGACGAUAUGCCGUUUUUUUUAGCGGAUGUCUGAAUUAGGUGUUUGUGCGCCUGUGGACCCCUUAACUUAAGCAUAAGCUUGGA
This 345-nucleotide unclassified non-coding RNA is filed under the name Pleistophora sp. ED-2005. Its description in RNAcentral is "partial contains small subunit ribosomal RNA, intergenic spacer, and large subunit ribosomal RNA". The stretch from base 1 to 162 matches the Rfam family "Microsporidia small subunit ribosomal RNA", at positions 780 to 1311 of the family's 1311-position model. Lineage: Eukaryota; Fungi; Microsporidia; Pleistophoridae. The record is from RNAcentral.